GGCUUGGCGCUUUGGCGACUCAGUCGUCUAACGGAGUUCAAACCAGCUGGGCAGAAAAGUUCUGGCGAGCUUUUUGGCAGCAAAGCUGCAACCGUUUUACUGAGAAAACUUGUAGCGAUUGCCAUUGAUUAACCAUUCUAAAAGUUGGCAAAGCACAC
Molecule: long non-coding RNA, 158 nt
Organism: Drosophila navojoa
Lineage: Eukaryota; Metazoa; Arthropoda; Insecta; Diptera; Drosophilidae
Source: RefSeq, a predicted model, not a curated record